Molecule: ribosomal RNA, 431 nt
Filed under: uncultured bacterium
Lineage: Bacteria
Description: bacterial SSU rRNA
Rfam family: Bacterial small subunit ribosomal RNA
Source: RNAcentral
GUAGGGAAUCUUCGGCAAUGGACGGAAGUCUGACCGAGCAACGCCGCGUGAGUGAAGAAGGUUUUCGGAUCGUAAAGCUCUGUUGUAAGAGAAGAACGAGUGUGAGAGUGGAAAGUUCACACUGUGACGGUAACUUACCAGAAAGGGACGGCUAACUACGUGCCAGCAGCCGCGGUAAUACGUAGGUCCCGAGCGUUAUCCGGAUUUAUUGGGCGUAAAGCGAGCGCAGGCGGUUAGAUAAGUCUGAAGUUAAAGGCUGUGGCUUAACCAUAGUACGCUUUGGAAACUGUUUAACUUGAGUGCAGAAGGGGAGAGUGGAAUUCCAUGUGUAGCGGUGAAAUGCGUAGAUAUAUGGAGGAACACCGGUGGCGAAAGCGGCUCUCUGGUCUGUAACUGACGCUGAGGCUCGAAAGCGUGGGGAGCAAACAGGA